This is a long non-coding RNA of Orcinus orca (killer whale), 1342 nucleotides long. RefSeq lists it as uncharacterized. The transcript is spliced from 3 exons. The record is from RefSeq and is a predicted model, not a curated record. Lineage: Eukaryota; Metazoa; Chordata; Mammalia; Artiodactyla; Delphinidae.
ACGCGCAGGAGAUGGAGAGGGCCGGGAUUUUCGGUGGCACGGCAGGACAAGGGAGCCUUCCGAGAGGAAGAACGAACCCACAGGAUGGGGGUCAGCGCUUGCGUUAGGACCGUGGUGUUUGUCGGUCCCCUCCACCCCCCCACUGCUCCGCGAGCAAUGGUUGCGCCGAGCCUGAGCUCCAGCCCCCAGCUUCGCGCCGGCGGGUGCGUCUGAGGAACUUAUAGCCGAUGAGUUGCCUCAUGAAGGGCCGCGCCCACCUCCGAGCUUGGGGCUGGGCACCUUCUCCGACUCCGGUGCGGCCGUGCAGCGUCCGCAAACAGCCCAGGGCGAAGUCCGCCUUCGGGCAGCUCGAUACCAAAAGCCCAGGAAACGGGCGCAAGCCACGAGAGUCUCAAAACGCGGCGUAGCACGCGAACGCGACCCGUCUUUGCGCUCUAAGGACGGCAGGGCCGAAGAAAGAGUAAGCUAUUAGUCUCCAUUGCUGCUGGCAUUCAUGCUGUAAACUUGAAGGGAGCUGCCUAAGGAUGAAUAGGUACUGUGGACAGCACAGAGGAGAGAAGGAAAGAAACUGGGUCAUUAUGACAUUAAGCUGAUAGAUGACCAAACACAGAGCCUGUCCAACAACUGGACUCUUAAUUAUGUCUCCAAUUUGUGAUGGACUUUGGAAGAAGUGUGAGUUCUAGAAAAAGGACUGGGUCAAGGACCUAGGGUAAGACACCUUGGCUUUUAUCUCAGAAUGUCUCAGAGAUAAGCUUUCUUUCUAUUCUUCAGGCUCUAAAAUAAAGCUUUAGGGAUCUUGUUGUUGUUCUAUUAAAGAUACAAGAAGCACAACCAAACCAACCAUAAUCCUAUACUUCAUUUUAUCAGGAUCAUGUAGGAAAAGACCAAAUCUAAUCCUGGAUGUUAAUAUUGCAUCUGUACCUAAAAUACAAAGAUCUGAAGGAGUGGUAUCUGUGAGUUGUAGGAUAUGCAUAUAUUCAGCCAAAGCGAUUAACCCUAUUUACUACCACAAACAGUGGAUUAGAGUUCCUAGUGUUUCAUAUAUUUGCCAACUCUGGUAUUGACUGACUUUUAAAUUUUUACUAGUCUGGUGGCUGCAAAUGCUGUCUCACUGUAGUUUUAUUUUGCAGUGUUGGGGUGGGCUCUCAUGAGCCAGUGACAUCACAGUGUGAUUGUGUUCAGUGACAUCAUGUUGGUCGUUUGAUUCAUCAUAUGAUAUUUACCCCAUGGAAAUCAGCAAACAUUACAAAUCAGGGCUUUCCCCUCUGGAGAGCCAAGUGUUAAAGAUUACCUACCUAUAUACCAUUGUUGAUAAGGUUAAAUAUUUUCUCAUGUAUUUAUG